RNAcentral lists this ribosomal RNA (253 nucleotides) under uncultured bacterium. Its description in RNAcentral is "partial 16S ribosomal RNA". It matches the Rfam family "Bacterial small subunit ribosomal RNA", at positions 524 to 776 of the family's 1533-position model. The record is from RNAcentral.
UACGUAGGGCGCAAGCGUUAUCCGGAAUUAUUGGGCGUAAAGAGCUCGUAGGCGGUCUGUCGCGUCUGCUGUGAAAACUCGGGGCUUAACCCCGGGCCUGCAGUGGGUACGGGCAGACUAGAGUGCGGUAGGGGAGACUGGAAUUCCUGGUGUAGCGGUGAAAUGCGCAGAUAUCAGGAGGAACACCGGUGGCGAAGGCGGGUCUCUGGGCCGAUACUGACGCUGAGGAGCGAAAGCAUGGGUAGCGAACAGG